ACUCCUACGGGAGGCAGCAGUGGGGAAUAUUGCACAAUGGGGGAAACCCUGAUGCAGCCAUGCCGCGUGUGUGAAGAAGGCCUUCGGUUGUAAAGCACUUUCAGUAGGAGGAAGGUAGUGUAGUUAACAACCUGCAUUAUUUGACGUUACCUACAGAAGAAGCACCGGCUAACUCCGUGCCAGCAGCCGCGGUAAUACGGAGGGUGCGAGCGUUAAUCGGAAUUACUGGGCGUAAAGCGCAUAGCAGGCGGACCUGUUAAGUCAGAUGUGAAAAGCCCGGGGGCUUAACCUCGGAAUUGACAUUUGAAACUGGCAGGCUAGAGUCUGUAGAGGGGGGUAGAAUUUCAGGUGUAGCGGUGAAAAUGCGUAGAG
This 372-nucleotide ribosomal RNA is filed under the name uncultured bacterium. Its description in RNAcentral is "bacterial SSU rRNA". It matches the Rfam family "Bacterial small subunit ribosomal RNA", at positions 335 to 695 of the family's 1533-position model. The record is from RNAcentral.